UGCAAGUCGAACGGAUGACAAGGAGCGUUGCUUCCUUGAAGUCAGUGGCGCACGAGUGAGUAACGCGUGGGAAACUGCCCUUCACUGGGGAAUAACGUUUGGAAACGAACGCUAAUACCGCAUACGCCCGCAAGGGGAAAGAUUUAUCGGUGAUGGAUGUGCCCGCGUUGGAUUAGCUAGUUGGUGGGGUAAUGGCCUACCAAGGCGAUGAUCCAUAGCUGGUCUGAGAGGACGAUCAGCCACGCUGGAACUGAGACACGGUCCAGACUCCUACGGGAGGCAGCAGCUAAGAAUAUUGGGCAAUGGAGGAAACUCUGACCCAGCCAAUGCCGCGUGAAUGAAGAAGGCCUUCGGGUUGUAAAGUUCUUUUUAGUCAUGAAGAUGAUGACAGUAGUGACAGAAAAGGCACCGGCUAACUUCGUGCCAGCAGCUGC
RNAcentral lists this ribosomal RNA (434 nucleotides) under uncultured bacterium. RNAcentral describes it as "bacterial SSU rRNA". It matches the Rfam family "Bacterial small subunit ribosomal RNA", at positions 56 to 518 of the family's 1533-position model. The record is from RNAcentral.